CAGAGUAGAUUUUUGCGCGUUAAGUGUCAUCCGAACGGGGAGUUGUCGGGUGAACGAAAAGAGAAAUCUUGCGGUGCAAAAGUCGCAUCCCGCUGC
RNAcentral lists this non-coding RNA (96 nucleotides) under human gut metagenome. Its description in RNAcentral is "THF riboswitch". It matches the Rfam family "THF (Tetrahydrofolate) riboswitch aptamer". From Rfam's summary of the family: THF riboswitch presents a pseudoknot that joins P1-P2 and the loop of P3 and two THF binding. The record is from RNAcentral.